UUCUUAUCUAGAGAGGUAGAGGGACUGGCCCUUUGACGCCUCAGCAACCAUUAACAUUCAUUCGUUAAUAAGGUGCUAAUUCCAGCAAAUUGUGAAAGAUUUGACAGAUGAGAA
This 114-nucleotide non-coding RNA is filed under the name Bacillus cereus. Its description in RNAcentral is "SAM-I sequence". It matches the Rfam family "SAM riboswitch aptamer (S box leader)". From Rfam's summary of the family: The SAM riboswitch is found upstream of a number of genes which code for proteins involved in methionine or cysteine biosynthesis in Gram-positive bacteria. The SAM riboswitch acts at the level of transcription termination control. RNAcentral also lists the same sequence under 3 other names. The record is from RNAcentral. Lineage: Bacteria; Bacillati; Bacillota; Bacilli; Caryophanales; Bacillaceae.